Molecule: ribosomal RNA, 456 nt
Filed under: uncultured Anoxybacillus sp.
Lineage: Bacteria; Bacillati; Bacillota; Bacilli; Caryophanales; Anoxybacillaceae
Description: bacterial SSU rRNA
Rfam family: Bacterial small subunit ribosomal RNA
Source: RNAcentral
ACAAGCGGUGGAGCAUGUGGUUUAAUUCGACGCAACGCGAAGAACCUUACCAGGGCUUGACAUCCCCUGACCGCGUAUGAAAGUACGUUUCACCCUCGGGUGACAGGGAGACAGGUGGUGCAUGGUUGUCGUCAGCUCGUGUCGUGAGAUGUUGGGUUAAGUCCCGCAACGAGCGCAACCCUCGACCUUAGUUGCCAGCAUUCAGUUGGGCACUCUAAGGUGACUGCCGGCUAAAAGUCGGAGGAAGUGGGGAUGACGUCAAAUCAUCAUGCCCCUUAUGACCUGGGCUACACACGUGCUACAAUGGGCGGUACAAAGGGUCGCGAACCCGCGAGGGGGAGCCAAUCCCAAAAAGCCGCUCUCAGUUCGGAUUGCAGGCUGCAACUCGCCUGCAUGAAGCCGGAAUCGCUAGUAAUCGCGGAUCAGCAUGCCGCGGUGAAUACGUUCCCGGGCCUU